GUGAAUCACAUAAACAGCCAGGAUGUUGGCUUAGAGGCAGCCAUCAUUUAAAGAGUGCGUAAUAGCUCACUGGUCGAGUGGUUUUGCGCCGAAAAUGAUCGGGGCUAAAGUAUAUAACCGAAGCUAUGGAUUUGUACCUUCGGGUACAAGUGGUAGAGGAGCGUAGUGCCACGCGAUGAAGGCGUACCGUAAGGAGCGCUGGAGUAGGCACUAGUGAUACUGUUGGUAUAAGUAGCGAAAACUACGGCGAGAAACCGUAGCACCGAAAAUCUAAGGUUUCCUGGGGAAGGUUAAUCCACCCAGGGUUAGUCGAUCCUAAGGCGAGGCUGAAAAGCGUAGUCGAUGGACAUCCGGUUAAUAUUCCGGAACUAGCAAUGAGCGUUAUUACCCACAUGUGACGCAGGAGGAUAAGUGAUCAGACUGUUGGAAUAGUCUGUUUAAAGUUGUAGCCUUGCUUGCAAGGUGAGAGCUGAAUACGAUCUGCGACUACGGUCAAAGAGAAGUCACCAAUUCCAUGCUGCCGAGAAAAACCAUGUGGGGAGUAUCAUAGCUAAUCGUACCUCAAACCGACACAGGUAGAUAACCAGAAUAUGGUAAGGUGCUCGAGAUAACCCUCUCUAAGGAACUAGGCAAAAUAGCUCCGUAACUUCGGAAGAUGGAGUGCCCUUAUUGUUGAGUCCUUUACGGACAAAGGCAUGAGGGGUCACAGUAAAGAGACCCGGGUGACUGUUUAGUAAAAACACAUCACUCUGCAAAGUCGUAAGACGACGUAUAGGGUGUGACACCUGCCCGGUGCUGGAAGGUUAAGGGAAAAGGUUAGGACUUGAUCCGAAGCUUUGAACCGAAGCCCCAGUAAACGGCGGCCGUAACUAUAACGGUCCUAAGGUAGCGAAAUUCCUUGUGGGGUAAGUUCCCACGCGCACGAAUGGUGUAACAACUUGGGUGCUGUCUCUGGGAGGGACUCGGCGAAUUUGUAGUAGCGGUGAAGAUGCCGCUUACCCGCACUAGGACGAAAAGACCCCGGAACCUUUACUGCAGUCUGUUAUUGAGUUUGAGUGUUACUUGUGUAGGAUAGGUGGGAGGCUUUGAAGCUGUGACGCCAGUUACGGCUGAGCCAUUGGUGAAAUACCACCCUUUUAGUAUUUAGACUCUAACUACGAUCUUUGAAUCAAGACAUAGAACAGUGACAGAUGGGCAGUUUGUUUGGGGCGAAUCCCGUCUAAAAUGUAACGACGGGGUCCAAAGGUCACCUCAAACCGGUCGGCAAUCGGUUGUAGAGUGCAUAGGCAUAAGGUGGCUUAACUGUGAUUCCGACAGGAAGAACAGAUGCGAAAGCAGGGCUAAGUGAUCCGGUGGUAGAUCAUGGGAUUGCCAUCGCUCAACGGACAAUAGGUACUCCGGGGAUAACAGGCUGAUCGCGCUCGAGAGUUCAUAUCGACAGCGCGGAUUGGCACCUCGAUGUCGGCUCGUCG
RNAcentral lists this ribosomal RNA (1472 nucleotides) under marine metagenome. RNAcentral describes it as "bacterial LSU rRNA". It matches the Rfam family "Bacterial large subunit ribosomal RNA", at positions 1075 to 2542 of the family's 2925-position model. The record is from RNAcentral.